UACGUAGGGUGCAAGCGUUGUCCGGAAUUAUUGGGCGUAAAGAGCUCGUAGGCGGUCUGUCGCGUCUGCUGUGAAAACUCAGGGCUUAACCCUGAGCUUGCAGUGGGUACGGGCAGACUAGAGUGCGGUAGGGGAGACUGGAAUUCCUGGUGUAGCGGUGAAAUGCGCAGAUAUCAGGAGGAACACCGGUGGCGAAGGCGGAUC
This 204-nucleotide ribosomal RNA is filed under the name uncultured bacterium. Its description in RNAcentral is "partial 16S ribosomal RNA". It matches the Rfam family "Bacterial small subunit ribosomal RNA", at positions 524 to 727 of the family's 1533-position model. The record is from RNAcentral.